UGCAACCUGAGCUCAGGCGUGAUUACCCGCUGAACUUAAGCAUAUCAUUUA
RNAcentral lists this ribosomal RNA (51 nucleotides) under Haemonchus longistipes. Its description in RNAcentral is "partial 28S ribosomal RNA". Lineage: Eukaryota; Metazoa; Nematoda; Chromadorea; Rhabditida; Trichostrongylidae. The record is from RNAcentral.